Molecule: long non-coding RNA, 325 nt
Filed under: Solanum tuberosum (potato)
Lineage: Eukaryota; Viridiplantae; Streptophyta; Magnoliopsida; Solanales; Solanaceae
Description: long non-coding RNA (STUB_LNC001333)
Source: RNAcentral
GGCCACUUUACUAUAUGAUAAUAAAAGUUGGGUUUAUAUCCUUGCAGAAGAUCAAACAUCUUACUCCAGUGAUGCAGGCUAUUUCUUAUUCAUGGAAAUUUGGCCUUAAUCAGUUGAUGUAUUGUCAAUUGACAUUCUAAAUACAUUUUGCUGAAAGUGACUUCCUUAUCAUGUCGUCUUGCAUUCCUUCGUUUCCACAGUUCCCACAUGACAAUAGCAGGAAUUGCUUUCAUAAUAUGUUGCAACUUAGGAUAUGACUCAUAUUCCCACCACUUUGAUAGUAGCUGGUGUAUAUUUAGGCCAUCAAUGCUAAAACAUGCGCAAG